Molecule: long non-coding RNA, 795 nt
Filed under: Salmo salar (Atlantic salmon)
Lineage: Eukaryota; Metazoa; Chordata; Actinopteri; Salmoniformes; Salmonidae
Description: lncRNA (ENSSSAG00000091297.1)
Source: RNAcentral
UUCCCUCUGCCUCCCCCUGCUUUCCUCAAAUUCCCUCUGCUUCCCUCUCCUUCCUUAUUCUUCCCUCUGCUUCCCGCUGCUUUCCUCUGCUUCCCUCUGCUUCCUUCUGCUUCCUUCUGAAUCAACUUCAACAAAAUGGGAAUGAUGAGACUCCAAUUACUGUAUCCCACCCUGUUUGAGAUGAGGCUUCAUCAGAGCUUUAUUGCAUCAUCUUGUCCACAUGUUUGUCUGUAGUUUGGUUUGAUAUGGAAGGUUUGUCUGUAUUUUGGUAUGAUAUGGAAGGUUUGUCUGUAUUUUGGUAUGAUAUGGAAGGUUUGUCUGUGGUUUGGUUUGAUAUGGAAGGUUUGUCUGUAUUUUGGUAUGAUAUGGAAGGUUUGUCUGUGGUUUGGUUUGACAUGGAAGGUUUGUCUGUAAAGGGUGAAAGGAACAUUGACUAUAAACAAUAACAUUGGGCAAUCACAGCAAUUCAAUACCGGUUUACCAAUAGAGACAUAUCAGUCAUCUUAGGCAGGAGAUCAAUAGGAAGUCUGUGUAGCCAAUGGAACCCUAUUGCCCAUAUAGUGCUCUUCUUUUGACCAGGGUCCAUAAGGCUCUUGCCAAAAGUAGUGUACUAAAUAGAGAAUAGGGUGCCAUUUGGGACACACAAAGACGAAUAACUCUGGGGUUGCAUGGCUUUAGAAGAGGAUGUGGAAGAGGAAGAGGUUGAGGAAGAGCGAGAGGGAGAGGAAGAGGAAGAGGAAGGGGAAGAGGGAGAAGAGAGGGGGAAAGGGAUAUCGUUUUAGUACCAGGGAGACA